ACAGAUAUCGUGAAGAGUGCUACGAAGAACAUGGAAGUAAACCGAUCUCUUUGAGAAGAGGAUGUCAAUUACUUUGGAUCGAUACCCAAGAGUGUGAUUGCUGCACCGUAUGCCGUGCAGAACAGCUCUGAUUUCUCCACCGUCACCAACACUUGUUGCUGGUUUUCUUGAUAACAGCCAUUCUAACAGGUGUAAGGGGCAAUACAGAGGCUUCUGAACAAGAUUUAUGAUAAAAGGACCAAGAAGCAGCUUAUCAUGCUCAACAUGUAUGUCUC
Herpailurus yagouaroundi (jaguarundi) is the source of this 275-nucleotide long non-coding RNA. RefSeq lists it as uncharacterized. Lineage: Eukaryota; Metazoa; Chordata; Mammalia; Carnivora; Felidae. The record is from RefSeq and is a predicted model, not a curated record. The transcript has 3 exons.